UACGAAGGGGGCUAGCGUUGCUCGGAAUUACUGGGCGUAAAGGGCGCGUAGGCGGACCGUUCAGUCAGGCGUGAAAGCCCCGGGCUCAACCUGGGAAUGGCGCUUGAGACGGAGGGUCUUGAGGGCGGGAGAGGGUGGUGGAAUUCCCAGUGUAGAGGUGAAAUUCGUAGAUAUUGGGAAGAACACCGGUGGCGAAGGCGGCCACCUGGCCCGUUACUGACGCUGAGGCGCGAAAGCGUGGGGAGCAAACAGG
This 253-nucleotide ribosomal RNA is filed under the name uncultured bacterium. Its description in RNAcentral is "partial 16S ribosomal RNA". It matches the Rfam family "Bacterial small subunit ribosomal RNA", at positions 524 to 776 of the family's 1533-position model. The record is from RNAcentral.